CCUAAGCGACUGCGGAGGACAUUACAGAGACUCUGCCCUUUGGGUAGACCUCCCACCCUGUGUCGUUAUACCUUCGUUGCUUUGGCGGGCCGCGGGGCUCCGGCCCUGCCCCUGGCUCCGGCUAGGGCGCGCCCGCCAGAGGACUCCCAAACCUGAAUGUUAGUGUCGUCUGAGUACUAUAUAAUAGUUAAAACUUUCAACAACGGAUCUCUUGGUUCUGGCAUCGAUGAAGAACGCAGCGAAAUGCGAUAAGUAAUGUGAAUUGCAGAAUUCAGUGAAUCAUCGAAUCUUUGAACGCACAUUGCGCCCCUUGGUAUUCCGGGGGGCAUGCCUGUUCGAGCGUCAUUACAACCCUCAAGCUCUGCUUGGUCUUGGGCGUCACCGGUCCCCGGUGUGCCUCAAAAUCAGUGGCGGCGCCGUCUGGCUCUAAGCGUAGUACAUACUCUCGCUACAGACGCCCGGCGGAUGCUGGCCAGCAACCCCCAAUCUAUCAAGGUUGACCUCGGAUCAGGUAGGGAUACCCGCUGAACUUAAGCAUAUCAA
Molecule: ribosomal RNA, 543 nt
Filed under: Pezicula sp. HD-2014
Lineage: Eukaryota; Fungi; Ascomycota; Leotiomycetes; Helotiales; Dermateaceae
Description: eukaryotic LSU rRNA
Rfam family: 5.8S ribosomal RNA (bases 192-345)
Source: RNAcentral